Molecule: long non-coding RNA, 1167 nt
Filed under: Takifugu rubripes (torafugu)
Lineage: Eukaryota; Metazoa; Chordata; Actinopteri; Tetraodontiformes; Tetraodontidae
Description: lncRNA (ENSTRUG00000028046.1)
Source: RNAcentral
CCAGACUUGACAUCAAGCCGUGAUGAGUUCAGGCACCUUUCUGAGCGCAGGAAUGCAGAUCGACAGCGUCCUCUUGCUAAAAAGGCCUUGUCUGGCAGGCCGGCCGGCACUGAAGGUAUGUGGAAUUUCCAGACUGGUGCUCAUGAAUAAGUGGUGCUCCUCGCUGGCUGCUCACUCUCCACUUACAUGUCUGCACGCUAAUAACGUGGAAAAGACGGAACGCCGAAUGCGAGACUGUGCAUAUCAUCAGCCUUCACCUCUUCCCUGCCCCCCCCACAUCCUCACCGCGCCACAUUCCGUUGUGCAGGGUCAGGCAGGUUAUCGGCGUCCUAAUCUGCGAACGUUAGCCCGACGAGGGCGCCGCGGUCCUUCAGGAGCCCCCACAAAGCCGUCUAAGGAGAGGAGGAGGAGAGGAGGAAGCCCCUUCAGCACCUACAGGAGGUCAAUCUCACUGAAUUUACUGUCCAGGCUGAAUAUGUUGCUCAUUUGUCUGGAAUCACGUAUGGUAAACAAACGGUGCUCCGCCAGGCCAGCCGAGGCACUUUUCCAGCAGGAAGUGAGUUGUGACCCCCCAGGUUCCCCCGGCGACGGAGGGAUGCAUGAGAAUGACGCUGGAGGAAUAAACAGAUGGAGACACGUAAAUCUGUGCUUGUUGCCGUAUUGUAGAUUUUUUAAGAUGGUCAUUAAUUACAUGGUUAAGUGUUUUCCUUUUCCGUUGCGUCGGAGCGUCGCUGGCGCUGACAUGUUUUGGAAAUCCUCUGCCCCCCCAACACGGUUUUCAGGAGCGGAGCGUGAACACGAGCGUGGUGGAGGCAGCCGGUGCCAGAUUAACAGAGUUUUUCAGCAAAUGAUCCUCGCCGACUGGCCAAUCUGUUCGAAUUCACACAGCCGACGAGAGUAGUGACACCAACUGCUGUGAUAGAGCGAGCAGGAAGUUGUACCGUGAGUCAUGUGACCUGUCUGUGGUUGGGCCUUGUCCAGCCAUCUGUGUCGGUUCUUAGUUCUGUGUUUUUGGCCUCCCUGGUGAAGUUAUUCGUCCAUCAACAUGUGGAAGGACGGAGCAGCAGAACGACUGUCUGUGUCUCACCUCACUGUGUUUCCACAGACGUGUCACACGCCACCUGGAUUCACCUCCAGCUUCUCAUGGAGGCAGCUAAUUAACCGUAA